This 505-nucleotide ribosomal RNA is filed under the name Sympetrum pedemontanum. RNAcentral describes it as "partial 16S rRNA". It matches the Rfam family "Bacterial large subunit ribosomal RNA", at positions 1819 to 2597 of the family's 2925-position model. The record is from RNAcentral. Lineage: Eukaryota; Metazoa; Arthropoda; Insecta; Odonata; Libellulidae.
GUCCUUUAGAAUUUAAUUUAAGGUCUGACCUGCCCAGUGAUAAAUUUAACGGCCGCGGUAUACUGACCGUGCAAAGGUAGCAUAAUCAUUAGUCUUUUAAUAGAGGGCUGGAAUGAACGGUUUAACGAGGAACUGACUGUCUCAUUUUAUUUGUUUUAAAACUUAAUUUUUUAGUUAAAAAGCUAAAAUAUUAUUGGAAGACGAGAAGACCCUAUAGAUCUUCAUAUAAUUUUUUAUAUUCACUUAUAUAUUAAUAUGAGUAUAAUAAAAUUGUAUUUUGUUGGGGUGACAAAAAUAUAUAAUUAACUUUUUCAUUUAUUUACCAUUGAUAUAUGAUUUUUAGAUCCACUAUUAGUGAUUAUUAGAACAAGUUACCUUAGGGAUAACAGCGUAAUCCUCCUCCAGAGUUCAUAUUUACAGGAGGGCUUGCGACCUCGAUGUUGGAUUAAGAUAAUAAUUAGGUGUAGCCGCUUAAUAUAUAGGUCUGUUCGACCUUUAAAUUCUU